Molecule: ribosomal RNA, 480 nt
Filed under: uncultured Actinomycetes bacterium
Lineage: Bacteria; Bacillati; Actinomycetota; Actinomycetes
Description: bacterial SSU rRNA
Rfam family: Bacterial small subunit ribosomal RNA
Source: RNAcentral
AGGCUUUGAUCCUGGCUCAGGACGAACGCUGGCGGCGUGCUUAACACAUGCAAGUCGAACGAUGAAGUUCCUUCGGGAAUGGAUUAGUGGCGAACGGGUGAGGAACACGUGAACAAUCUGCCCCUUACACGGGAAUAACUCCGGGAAACCGGAGCUAAUACCCGAUAUUGAAUUCGGUAGGCAUCUACUGAAUUUGAAAUGGUCCGCCGGUAAGGGAUGAGUUCGCGGCCUAUCAGCUUGUUGGUGAGGUAAUGGCUCACCAAGGCAACGACGGGUAGCCGGCCUGAGAGGGCGACCGGCCACACUGGGACUGAGACACGGCCCAGACUCCUACGGGAGGCAGCAGUGGGGAAUAUUGCGCAAUGGACGAAAGUCUGACGCAGCAACGCCGCGUGAGGGAUGACGGCCUUCGGGUUGUAAACCUCUUUCAAUCGGGACGAAGCGAAAGUGACGGUACCGUAGUCAAGAAGCACCGGCGUA